AGGUCUCAGUUCAGAUUGCAGGCUGCAACCCGCCUGCAUGAAGUCGGAAUUGCUAGUAAUCGCGGAUCAGCAUGCCGCGGUGAAUACGUUCCCGGGCCUCCUACACACCGCCCGUCACACCAUGGGAGCCGGUAAUACCCGAAGUCAGUAGUCCAACCUCGUGAGGACGCUGCCGAAGGUAGGAUUGGCGACUGGGGUGAAGUCGUAACAAGGUAAC
RNAcentral lists this ribosomal RNA (217 nucleotides) under uncultured bacterium. Its description in RNAcentral is "partial 16S ribosomal RNA". It matches the Rfam family "Bacterial small subunit ribosomal RNA", at positions 1283 to 1500 of the family's 1533-position model. The record is from RNAcentral.